Photinus pyralis (common eastern firefly) is the source of this 588-nucleotide long non-coding RNA. RefSeq lists it as uncharacterized. The transcript has 3 exons. Lineage: Eukaryota; Metazoa; Arthropoda; Insecta; Coleoptera; Lampyridae. The record is from RefSeq and is a predicted model, not a curated record.
UUUGGGCCGAGUUUCAUAUCAUAAAGAAAUAUUUAGGAGACAGUGUUCUUGUUUUAUAAUUUGCUACGUCCAUGGAAAUCCAUAGGUAGUGUACUCCGAUCGCUUUUCUAUCGGUUAAAUUGGUUGCAUUACUUUUCAUUUGUUCCUUUGUGCGAAGUCGAACGUAUUUGGUGUGACUGUAACCAAAAGUAAAAGAAAUGGGUACGACGUCAAAAAUAUGUGUGGUGGUAAUGCUUAUGGUACUAAUAGUAACGUCGCGAGUAGAUGGUGCGGAAGACACCUACCACUUCCAAAAGUUCUACGAUGAAUAUGAAGAGAGGUACAUAGCUGCAAAAAAGGUUGUCGCGGUCGCCUACGUGAUUUACGUGUUCCUUCUAUGUAAAAUUGGCAUGGAACCGUAGACAUGAAACCAAAAUUUGUUCUUUUAAAUUUUUUAUGUGACACAAUUAUAGGUAUAAUUUAAAUAUUUUGGUUGGAUUUGGAAUUUGGUAGCAAUUAGGUGCUGGUUAAUUUAAGAAAGUAGAAUUAUUUGUAAACUGUAACCAUAUUUACUUCAUAGUGAAUUAUAGUAUUUUAGUCAGAUCUCUA